UACGUAGGGUGCGAGCGUUGUCCGGAAUUAUUGGGCGUAAAGGGCUCGUAGGCGGUUUGUCGCGUCGGGAGUGAAAACCAGGUGCUUAACACCUGGCUUGCUUUCGAUACGGGCAGACUAGAGGUAUUCAGGGGAGAACGGAAUUCCUGGUGUAGCGGUGAAAUGCGCAGAAUAUCAGGAGGAACACCGGUGGCGAAGGCAGGUCUCUGGGCAUUAACUGACGCUGGAGGAGCGAAAGCAUGGGGAGCGAACAGG
Molecule: ribosomal RNA, 255 nt
Filed under: uncultured bacterium
Lineage: Bacteria
Description: partial 16S ribosomal RNA
Rfam family: Bacterial small subunit ribosomal RNA
Source: RNAcentral